UACAGAGGUCUCAAGCGUUGUUCGGAUUCAUUGGCGUAAAGGGUGCGUAGGUGGCGGGGUAAGUCGGAUGUGAAAUCUCAGGGCUCAACCUGAACUGCAUUCGAUACUGCCUUGCUCGAGGACUGGAGAGGAGAUUGGAAUUCACGGUGUAGCAGUGAAAUGCGUAGAUAUCGUGAGGAAGACCAGUGGCGAAGGCGGAUCUCUGGACAGUUCCUGACACUGAGGCACGAAGGCCAGGGAGCAAACGGG
Molecule: ribosomal RNA, 249 nt
Filed under: uncultured bacterium
Lineage: Bacteria
Description: partial 16S ribosomal RNA
Rfam family: Bacterial small subunit ribosomal RNA
Source: RNAcentral